UUUUUUCAUAGUACGGACCAUAUGGUCCAAAUCAUGUUUUAAAAGGUGUAUUAUAUCAUAUUUUCAAAGAUGUGUAAUAUGCGAUUUAAUGAUUGACGAUGUGAAAAAUGAUCAAUUAUACUCUCGCAUGAGAGAUACAACUCGACUCCAAGUUAAUAUAUUCGACAUCAUAAAUAUUGUCCAUUAUAUGCCUAAUUUAGUAAGGAG
This 207-nucleotide long non-coding RNA is filed under the name Elaeis guineensis (African oil palm). RNAcentral's name for it is "long non-coding RNA (EGUI_LNC022577)". The record is from RNAcentral. Lineage: Eukaryota; Viridiplantae; Streptophyta; Magnoliopsida; Arecales; Arecaceae.